Molecule: ribosomal RNA, 255 nt
Filed under: uncultured bacterium
Lineage: Bacteria
Description: partial 16S ribosomal RNA
Rfam family: Bacterial small subunit ribosomal RNA
Source: RNAcentral
CUGGCCGUAAACGAUGCUCACUAGGUGUGGGGCACAGAGCGUGUUCUGCGCUGAAGCAAACGCAAUAAGUGAGCCGCCUGGGGAGUACGUCCGCAAGGAUGAAACUCAAAGGAAUUGACGGGGGCCCGCACAAGCGGUGGAGCGUGUGGUUUAAUUCGACGUUAAGCGAAGAACCUUACCAGGUCUUGACAUAUCCGUGGUAGUGAACUGAAAGGGGAACGACGGAGGCGAAUGCCUUCGAGCGGAUACAGGUGG